RNAcentral lists this ribosomal RNA (497 nucleotides) under uncultured bacterium. RNAcentral describes it as "partial 16S ribosomal RNA". It matches the Rfam family "Bacterial small subunit ribosomal RNA", at positions 28 to 507 of the family's 1533-position model. The record is from RNAcentral.
GAUGAACGCUGGCGGCGUGCCUAAUACAUGCAAGUCGAGCGAACAGACGAGGAGCUUGCUCCUCUGACGUUAGCGGCGGACGGGUGAGUAACACGUGGAUAACCUACCUAUAAGACUGGGAUAACUUCGGGAAACCGGAGCUAAUACCGGAUAAUAUAUUGAACCGCAUUGUUCAAUAGUGAAAGACGGUUUUGCUGUCACUUAUAGAUGGAUCCGCGCCGCAUUAGCUAGUUGGUAAGGUAACGGCUUACCAAGGAAACGAUGCGUAGCCGACCUGAGAGGGUGAUCGGCCACACUGGAACUGAGACACGGUCCAGACUCCUACGGGAGGAAGCAGUAGGGAAUCUUCCGCAAGGGGCGAAAGCCUGACGGAGCAACGCCGCGUGAGUGAUGAAGGUCUUCGGAUCGUAAAACUCUGUUAUUAGGGAAGAACAAAUGUGUAAGUAACUAUGCACGUCUUGACGGUACCUAAUCAGAAAGCCACGGCUAACUACGUG